RNAcentral lists this transfer RNA (66 nucleotides) under Gennadas parvus. RNAcentral's name for it is "tRNA-Pro". Lineage: Eukaryota; Metazoa; Arthropoda; Malacostraca; Decapoda; Benthesicymidae. The record is from RNAcentral.
CAGAGAGUAGUUUAACUAAAAUACUAGCUUUGGGAGUUGGUGAUAAGAGGGGUCUCUUUUCUCUGA